Molecule: ribosomal RNA, 366 nt
Filed under: Triticum aestivum (bread wheat)
Lineage: Eukaryota; Viridiplantae; Streptophyta; Magnoliopsida; Poales; Poaceae
Description: partial small subunit ribosomal RNA
Source: RNAcentral
AUAUCCUCUUCAAUUUUCUCUUCAGAUUCUUCAUUCUCCUCUGUGAUAGGUGGCAUAACUAUCUGGUACUCAUUCUUAGGCUGUGGAAUAGAAGCAAAACCAGAUCGCAGACCUUUUCUUAACUCUGCUUGCCUACGAAGCUCAAGCUGCGCGCUGUCUUGCAUUUCCACCUCUUCAUUUAUGUGAAGCUCAUCCCUGAAGGGGGUCCCUUUUGGAGUUAACCCAAAGGAAUUUCCAUCUCUGGACGGUGUCAUACCAAUCCUUGGGGUAACACCAGGGCCAGGGCUAGCCAGAGGUGUUGCCAUGGGAUUUGGAGUCUGCAUCUCUUUCUUACGUGGUGUAACGCCAGAGAAAUCUGAUGGAUGA